RNAcentral lists this ribosomal RNA (440 nucleotides) under uncultured bacterium. RNAcentral describes it as "partial 16S ribosomal RNA". It matches the Rfam family "Bacterial small subunit ribosomal RNA", at positions 338 to 795 of the family's 1533-position model. The record is from RNAcentral.
CCUACGGGAGGCAGCAGUGGGGAAUAUUGCACAAUGGGGGGAACCCUGAUGCAGCAACGCCGCGUGGGUGAAGAAGUACUCCGGUAUGUAAAGCCCUGUCAGCAGGGAAGAAAAUGACGGUACCUGACCACGAAGCCCCGGCUAACUACGUGCCAGCAGCCGCGGUAAUACGUAGGGGGCAAGCGUUAUCCGGAUUUAAUGGGUGUAAAGGGAGCGUAGACGGCAAGGCAAGUCUGGAGUGAAAGCUCGUGGCCCAACCACGGGACUGCUUUGGAAACUGUGUUGCUGGAGUGCAGGAGGGGUAAGCGGAAUUCCUAGUGUAGCGGUGAAAUGCGUAGAUAUUAGGAGGAACACCGGUGGCGAAGGCGGCUUACUGGACUGUAACUGACGUUGAGGCUCGAAGGCGUGGGGAGCAAACAGGAUUAGAUACCCCAGUAGUC